Molecule: ribosomal RNA, 1362 nt
Filed under: uncultured bacterium
Lineage: Bacteria
Description: bacterial SSU rRNA
Rfam family: Bacterial small subunit ribosomal RNA
Source: RNAcentral
GAUUAACGCUGGCGGCGUGCCUAACACAUGCAAGUCGAGCGGCAGCGAGUUUUACACUGAAUUCUGGAAGCUUCUAGUUGAAAGAGAAGAUUUAUUCAAGAAUUUUGUGUAAAAUGUCGGCGAGCGGCGGACGGCUGAGUAACGCGUGGGAACGUACCCCAAAGUGAGGGAUAACGCAUCGAAAGGUGUGCUAAUACCGCAUAUGGUCUUCGGAUUAAAGCCUUCGGGCGCUUUGGGAACGGCCUGCGUAAGAUUAGAUAGUUGGUGGGGUAAUGGCCUACCAAGUCGACGAUCUUUAACUGGUUUGAGAGGAUGAUCAGUCAGACUGGAACUGAGACACGGUCCAGACUCCUACGGGAGGCAGCAGUGAGGAAUCUUCCACAAUGGGCGAAAGCCUGAUGGAGCAACGCCGCGUGCAGGAUGAAGGCCUUCGGGUUGUAAACUGCUUUUAUAAGUGAGGAUUAUGACAGUAACUUAUGAAUAAGGAUCGGCUAACUACGUGCCAGCAGCCGCGGUCAUACGUANGAUCCGAGCGUUAUCCGGAGUGACUGGGCGUAAAGUUGCGUAAGUGGUUAAUAAGCGAAUAGUGAAAUCUGGUGGCUCAACCAUUCAGACUAUUAUUCGAACUGUUAAACUCGAGAGCAGAAGAGGUAGCUGGAAUUUCUAGUGUAGGAGUGAAAUCCGUAGAUAUUAGAAGGAACACCGAUGGCGUAGGCAGGCUACUGGGCUGUUUCUGACACUGAGGCACGAAAGCGUGGGGAGCGAACCGGAUUAGAUACCCGGGUAGUCCACGCCGUAAACGAUGGAUACUAGCUGUUUGGGGUAUCGACCCCCUGAGUAGCGAAGCUAACGCGUUAAGUAUCCCGCCUGUGGAGUACGAUCGCAAGAUUAAAACAUAAAGGAAUUGACGGGGACCCGCACAAGCGGUGGAUCAUGUUCUUUAAUUCGAUGAUAACCGAUAAACCUUACCAGGUCUUGACAUCCUUGGAAUCUUUCAGAAAUGAGAGAGUGCUUUUUAAGAGCCAAGCGACAGGUGAUGCAUGGCCGUCGUCAGCUCGUGUCGUGAGAUGUUUGGUUAAGUCCAUCAACGAGCGCAACCCUUGUCAGUAGUUGUAUUUUUCUACUGAGACUGCCCCGGUAACGGGGAGGAAGGAGGGGAUGACGUCAGGUCAGUAUUUCCCUUACGUCCUGGGCUAGAAACGUGAUACAAUGGCUAGUACAAUGCGCAGCGAAGCCGCGAGGUGAAGCAAAUCGCAUCAAAGCUAGUCCCAGUUCGGAUUGUAGGCUGAAACUCGCCUGCAUGAAGUCGGAAUCGCUAGUAAUCGCAGAUCAGCAUGCUGCGGUGAAUACGUUCCCGGGUCU